Molecule: ribosomal RNA, 492 nt
Filed under: uncultured bacterium
Lineage: Bacteria
Description: partial 16S ribosomal RNA
Rfam family: Bacterial small subunit ribosomal RNA
Source: RNAcentral
AGUGAACGCUGGCGGUAGGCCUAACACAUGCAAGUCGAACGGCAGCACAGUAAGAGCUUGCUCUUACGGGUGGCGAGUGGCGGACGGGUGAGGAAUACAUCGGAAUCUACUUUUUCGUGGGGGAUAACGUAGGGAAACUUACGCUAAUACCGCAUACGACCUACGGGUGAAAGCAGGGGAUCUUCGGACCUUGCGCGAUUGAAUGAGCCGAUGUCGGAUUAGCUAGUUGGCGGGGUAAAGGCCCACCAAGGCGACGAUCCGUAGCUGGUCUGAGAGGAUGAUCGGCCACACUAGAACUGAGACACGGUCCAGACUCCUACGGGAGGCAGCAGUGGGGAAUAUUGGACAAUGGGCGCAAGCCUGAUCCAGCCAUACCGCGUGGGUGAAGAAGGCCUUCGGGUUGUAAAGCCCUUUUGUUGGGAAAGAAAAGCAGCAGGUUAAUACCCCGCUGUUCUGACGGUACCCAAAGAAUAAGCACCGGCUAACUUCGUG